GAUGAACGCUAGCGGCAGGCCUAACACAUGCAAGUCGAGGGGUAACAGGGAGUGCUUGCACUCCGCUGACGACCGGCGCACGGGUGCGCACCGCGUAUGGAAUCUGCCUCUUGCAGGGGAAUAGCCCAGGGAAACUUGGAUUAAUGCCCCGUGGUACCUUUCUAUAGCAUUAUAUUAAGGUUAAAGCCUUCGGGCGGCAAGAGAUGACCAUGCGUCCCAUUAGCUUGAUGGUAAGGUAACGGCUUACCAUGGCUACGAUGGGUAGGGGCCCUGAGAGGGGGAUCCCCCACACUGGUACUGAGACACGGACCAG
This 313-nucleotide ribosomal RNA is filed under the name uncultured bacterium. RNAcentral describes it as "bacterial SSU rRNA". It matches the Rfam family "Bacterial small subunit ribosomal RNA", at positions 28 to 334 of the family's 1533-position model. The record is from RNAcentral.